RNAcentral lists this long non-coding RNA (1804 nucleotides) under Canis lupus familiaris (dog). RNAcentral's name for it is "lncRNA (ENSCAFG00000058379.1)". Lineage: Eukaryota; Metazoa; Chordata; Mammalia; Carnivora; Canidae. The record is from RNAcentral.
AACUUCUAAUUGCUUUGCUCACUCUCUGUUAUCCACGAGAUUCAUUCUUCAAAUCCAUGAGACAAGAACCAAGCUCUCCCAUAUCAGUAGUUCUGUUCUUGAUUUUUUGAGAAGCUUCUAUUCUGUUUUUCACAGUGGCUGUAUUGGUUCACAUUGCUGUUAGCAGUGUGCAGGGUUUCCCUUUUCUUCACUUGUCAAAACUUGUUUCCUGUCUUUUUGAUAGUAGUCAUUCUGGCAAGUGGAGAUGAUAUGUUGUGGUGGUUUUGGUUUGCAUUUGCCUAAUGAUUAGCCAUUUUGAACAGCUUCUCACAUGUCUGUUGGUCAUCUCUAUGUCUUCUAAGUGUUCAUUGAUGGACAAAUGAAUAAAGGAGAUCACACGCACACACACACACACAGGAGUACUACUCAGGCAUAAAGAAAAAGAAUAGAAUCUUGCCACUUGUGAAAAUAUGGAUGGACCUUGAGGGCAUUAUGCUAAGUGAAAUAAGUUAGAGAAAGACAAAUACCAUAUGAUUUCACUUAUUUGUGGAAUAAAAAAAAAUCAAAACCAAACAAACCAAACCAACUAAGCUCGUAGAUACAGAAAUCAAUUGGUGUUUGCAGAGAGAAAGAGAGUGGGGAUAGACUAAGUGAAGAGGGUCAAAGGUUACAAUCAGUUAUAAAAUAACAUGGGGAUGUAUUGUACAACAUGGUAACUAUAGUUAAUACUGUAUUGUGUAUUUGAAAGUCAGUAAUAGAUUAAAUAUGAAAACUUCUCAUGACAAGAAAAAAUUCUAACUAUAUGAUAGAUGGUAACUAUACUAUGUGGUUAUCCUUUUGCAGUAUAUACAAAUAAACAAUCAUGUCCUAUAUCUAAAAAUAAUAAAAUGUCAUGUAUCAAUAAUGCAAUAAUGUUUUUAUCUUAAAAAGUCUCUCACAGACUAUAUUUUGACAUUGUACAUAAGGGUUAACAGGGUUAACAUACCUCUAAAAAAUAAGAGUUAAUAUAUAAUAUUGAUUUAUGAUAAAAUGCCAGAAGCAUAUGUAUAUUUUUAUUUAUAUACAUAAGAAAUUCUGGAUGAAUAUGUAAAAAUUAAUGAGUGGUUAACUAUGAUAUUGAGUCAUAUCCUCAAUGCAUAAGGAAUCAGUUUUAGAAGAAAAUAUGUCAGAGUAUAUUUUUAAAAAAGCUUUAUUUUUAAAUUUAUUUUACUUUAUUUUUUAAAGAUUUAUUUACCAAUUCCAGAGAGAGACGGACUGCAUGUAGAGAGGUGCAAAAAAAUAAGAGGGAAAGAAAGAAUUCCAGACAGACUCCUCACUGAGCAGAGAGCCUAACUUGGGGCUUGAUCUCACAACACUGAGAUGGUGACCUGAACCAAAACAAGAGUAAGACACUUAAUCAACUGAGCCACCCAGGCACCCCAAUACUUUGAUUUUUAAAGCAUGGUAAUGUAUAAUAUAUUCAAAAUUGAAUAAGUGAAAUGAAUUUUUAAAAGCUGUAUAUUUGUGUGUUUGUGAGAAAGACAUGAGGGAGAUGAAGAGAAUAGGAGAAAACAAAACGAAGGACAAUAAAAGAGCAGUGAGAAGAUAUCUGAAGUGUCUUCAAGAGAAAGUUAAAUUGGAACCCAGUUGGCGCACCUGGGUUGCUCAGUGGUUAAGCAUCUGCCUUUGGCUCGGGGCCUGAUCCCAGAGUCCUGGGAUCCAGUCCCACAUCAGGCUCCCUGUGGGAGGCCUGCUUCUCCCUCUGCUUGUGUCUCUGCCUCUCGCUGUGUGUCUCUCAUGAAUAAAUAAGUAAAAUCUUUUUAGAAUUGAAAAAAAAAAAAAAAAA